RNAcentral lists this ribosomal RNA (543 nucleotides) under uncultured bacterium. Its description in RNAcentral is "bacterial SSU rRNA". It matches the Rfam family "Bacterial small subunit ribosomal RNA", at positions 358 to 916 of the family's 1533-position model. The record is from RNAcentral.
GGAAUCUUGCGCAAUGGGCGAAAGCCUGACGCAGCAACGCCGCGUGCGGGAAGAAGGCUUUCGGGCUGUAAACCGCUUUCAGCAGGAACGAAAAUGACGGUACCUGCAGAAGAAGGAGCGGCCAACUAUGUGCCAGCAGCCGCGGUGAUACAUAGGCUUCAAGCGUUGUCCGGAUUUAUUGGGCGUAAAGAGUUCGUAGGCGGUCGAGUAAGUCGGGUGUGAAAAUUCUGGGCUCAACCCAGAGACGCCACCCGAUACUGCUUAACUUGAGUUCGAUAGGGGAGUGGGGAAUUCCUAGUGUAGCGGUGAAAUGCGCAGAUAUUAGGAGGAACACCGGUGGCGAAGGCGCCACUCUGGAUCGACACUGACGCUGAGGAACGAAAGCAUGGGUAGCAAACAGGAUUAGAUACCCUGGUAGUCCAUGCGGUAGACGGUGGGCACUAGGUGUGGGUUUCUAUUAACGAAAUCCGCGCCGUCGCUAACGCAUUAAGUGCCCCGCCUGGGGAGUACGGUCGCAAGACUAAAACUCAAAGGAAUUGACGG